UACGAAGGGGGCUAGCGUUGCUCGGAAUUCCUGGGCGUAAAGCGCGCGUAGGCGGACCUGCAAGUCGGGGGUGAAAGCCCGAGGCUCAACCUCGGAACUGCCUUCGAUACUGCGGGUCUCGAGUCCGGGAGAGGUGAGUGGAAUUCCUAGUGUAGAGGUGAAAUUCGUAGAUAUUAGGAAGAACACCAGUGGCGAAGGCGGCUCACUGGCCCGGUACUGACGCUGCGGCGCGAAAGCGUGGGGAGCAAACAGG
RNAcentral lists this ribosomal RNA (253 nucleotides) under uncultured bacterium. Its description in RNAcentral is "partial 16S ribosomal RNA". It matches the Rfam family "Bacterial small subunit ribosomal RNA", at positions 524 to 776 of the family's 1533-position model. The record is from RNAcentral.